GCCUGGGUGGCUCAGUCGGUUAAGCAUCUGACUUUGGCUCAGGUCAUGAUCUCGCGGUCCGUGGGUUCGAGCCCCACGUCGGGCU
Molecule: non-coding RNA, 85 nt
Organism: Herpailurus yagouaroundi (jaguarundi)
Lineage: Eukaryota; Metazoa; Chordata; Mammalia; Carnivora; Felidae
Source: the annotation of a RefSeq genome assembly